AUACAUCUACUCUAUACCCAGAAAAAUUCUUUUAAAAAAAGAUCAGCAUGGUCCCUGUUAAACAAGGAUGACAGGCAAAUUCAUGAAGUGUUUCACAUUUUU
RNAcentral lists this small nuclear RNA (102 nucleotides) under Theropithecus gelada (gelada). Lineage: Eukaryota; Metazoa; Chordata; Mammalia; Primates; Cercopithecidae. The record is from RNAcentral.